Equus caballus (horse) is the source of this 2074-nucleotide long non-coding RNA. Lineage: Eukaryota; Metazoa; Chordata; Mammalia; Perissodactyla; Equidae. The record is from Ensembl.
GGGACAUGCUAGGCCCACCUGGAAACUGCGGCUGGCCUCAUUAAGCUUGAGUGAGGGUUCAGAUGCGAGUGUCUUCCAGGUCUUUGUUGUAGUUUAUGAACCAGUCAGUUCUAACCGAACUCAGCUUGAAUGCUGUUGAGAUAGUAGCACAAAUGUAUGUUUUCUUCUAGUAGAUUUUGUAAAUGUGGGUAUAUACAAUAAUUCAUAAGGCACCUGAAAUCUUUUAUGGGACAAAAUUGGUAUAAAUAGUUGUUUUGUCGUUGAAAGUUCUUUGUCCUAUAAUUGUGAAUUUUGAAGCUGUUCCGUAGAAGACUGCUCUUCGUUCCCAGGUCACUGUAGAUCCGUCUGGUGUACCGCCACCUCAGAGAGAUGGUUAACUAAGCUGACCGUUAGCUGACAUCUCGGAACCCGCCAGGCUCUUCCGCUUAGCAUCCUGCGGGGGCGGCUUCCUGUGGGCAGCGGUGCAGACGCAUCGGAUCAGCUGGGCUGUGCCCAGGACCUCGCCGGCUCAGCGUUACACCUGCUGCCUCUCAGCUUGGACGUGCGCACUAUCCUGUAGUGUCAUCAUGAGUGGCAAGAUGGUUACGUACUAGUUCACUGGGAAACGCAGACUAGGGUAUCCUUUGAGAAAGUUCUGGGUUUGAGUGGCUUUGAGAGGAAAAUCUCCAGCAGGGGAUGAAAGCACCUAAUUGAAGAACGGAGUCCGUGGUCCAUGCAGCGCCUGGGGCACCUUGAGGCAUCAGGAGAAGCGCUCUGCGCAGACUCCUCGCAGGUGCCCCCGUGUCCCUCUGUGGCUCUCUGCAUUGCACUGUCCUCAGCCUCAGAGUGCCUGCAGGAUGUCCAUGAAGCUGAGCCCUGACCCAGGUGGAGUCAGGAGGCACCCCCAGCUGCACUGGCCGCCUCCACCAGGGGCUCUCUUACUGCACAGCAUGUCCAUAACUCUGUGAUUGGUGUCACAGGCCAGCUGAGAGCUGGUGCUGUCACCUGUUAACAGCCUCUGUGAAGUCUGGGGAGCAGGCAGGCCUGGUGGCCAAUGGCAAGUGUGGUCCCCGGUGAAAUGAUGGUGUCCUGUCAGCCGAAUGCUGAGCCCACACUCCAACUUGAGAACUGCCCCCGAGGCCCCUGCUGCCCAGCUCCCCUCAGGCUGCUUCCUGAAAGGGGAGAGUGUGCAGCGGAAGAACGCUGUUCCUGUCGUGCAUGCUUAGGAGGCCCACAAAGAGAAGGGCAUCGCAGACAGAAGACCAAAUCGGAAUCCCAGGAGGCGGCAGGGUCUGCUUCCGCUCCUCCCUUAUCACUGCACAUUGGUGACCGGGGCUUGCAGGGGACAGUGCAGUGACCAGCCCAGCAGCCGGUGGCCGAGCAGGCACCAGGUGACGUGAUGACUCGUUGCUGACAUGCCGUUUUCUCUUGCACAGGUUAUGUUUUAUAUCAGCGUGAGCAUCUUAUUCUUGAAGACUUUGGAACCGAUGAAACAAUCAUAGGUGUUGCCCUGGGAGUUCUGCGCAUCUGUUUCCAGGUUGCUCGCAUCGUCGGUACACGGCUUUGCUGUGUCCCUCGUCCGUGAGCCAGCCUGCUAGUUCCUCCUCUGAUCUCAGCCUGGUGACGCUUGCCGGUUCUUGGCCAUAAGUGACUUCCUGAUAGAAAAGGACCCUCAGGCUUCAGUAUCCAGCGGAGUUGGCAGCUCUGUCAGAAACGGAACUGAGGUCACUUUGAGACUACCUGCAUUCUCUUCCUGGAAGGACACCCGGCAAUAGGUGUGAAACAAAACAAGAAGCAGCCUGCAGGACAGGAAGUCGCUGCACCAGAAUGGUUUUCGCCUGCAGGAUGUGCUCUUCCUCUCACAUGUCAGUUUUGGGAAAUGGAUUGAUUCAUUUUAUAACUUUGGAAGAUACUUAUUCUUUGUUACAAGAAACAACUACUUUAUUAUAGGAACAAAAUAAUAGUAUUUCAUAACAGUUCAUUUGUCAUGUACCCUUGGAGUUUCUCUCGAUAACCAGCAUAGCUGUGUUUCUCACAGAAUUCACGUUUGUCAUUAAGAGGCUGGAACUCGGUCUACACACCAUCUGAAUUGUGA